CUCUUCUUUGUUUUUGCACUUUUGGUGCUUAAGAUAUGUGUGCUCACUACAAGAAAAGUACUUAUUAGUGACUAAUUUAUAGUGACAACCAAAAAUUUGGUCACUAAAAACAUCAUUUAGUCACCAGAUAUUAAGUUGUCACAGAAUUUUAGUAAUCCUACAAAUUUAAUGACCAAUUCUAUGUAGUCGUCAUUAAAUCGGUCACUAAACCAUUAAUAAAAUUAAAAUACUUUUCUCUCGUAUUAUAAUAACUAUUAUAUAAUACUAUUAGUGACUAAAAAUAAUGGUCAUUAUGUUAGAGCACUAGUGACAAAAAAUAGUUGUCACUGAUUACUCUUUAUUAUUUGAAAACCACUUGAAUGCUAUGCGGAUCAACUGUGACCACUCAAUAGUGGUCACUGAAUUACAAAAUGAAAAACAACUGGUGAACCUAAAAUAGAGUAGUCAGUAGCUAAGAUUUUCAAUUAACGAAGAUUAAAAUAUUUUUAAUUAAUAUUUUUUCAUUUUGAAAAUGACUACGAGUUUUCAUAAUUUUCCAAAAACUCUUUACAUCUGAUUAGUCCUUAUCAAAGUUUCGUGUGCACUCAUCCACAACUAAUCAAAACCCUUUUAUCAAUACAUAUUUACUAUACUACCCUUCUCAGGUAUGGGUGAUAUAAAAUCAUUCUUUUGUCUUUUCCAUUUGUGCUGUUUCAUAAUUAAAGAAAUCAAUUUGUCUUUCUAUUAUUAUACGGAGGAAAAAGAUGAAUUUUCAUAGCAAUGUUCAAACUUUAGAGUGAAAAGUCAUUUUGCCUCUCGUCAACACAUCUCUCCUCAUAGUUUGCCCUAAAUCGACACACCAACCAUCGACGGUUCGGCACUAGUGUCGUCGGUCCAUCGUCGCUCCAAACCCUCCCAUCGACGCACAUUUGGUCUCCACUCGAAGUCAAACAGAUAAUAUCAUAGCAACUAGAAACAUGACUUUCUCAACAAACAGAAAAGCUUGAUUUUCUAUCAUUAACCUAAAAGUGUCCGUCUUCUCUCGCCUAACAGCUGACGCUCCUCCACAUCGCGCCUUUCCAAAUUCGCAGCUCCUUCCAUCGCCUCCGACAUCUCCACCGUCCCACCCCUCCCACACCUCCGGCGCCACCAUCGCACAGCAGAACUCCGACUCCUAUGCAGGAUCUUCAGAUGCUAAGGAGCAGAUUCAUAAGCUCACACACGUUCCCAGGAGUUGGAGAAGCAGGUGGAGAAACUACAGUUGAAAUUCGAUCUCAAACCCAGGAUAAUGGAGGCUUUGGAAACUAGAUUGAAAGAAUUGGAGCAGAAGAUGCUUGAUAUAAAUCCAAAGCUUCAAGAGAAAAACUGGUGUUGACAAAAUAUCAAAGAAUACAUAAACUUGUAGAUUUUGUCAAAGAUAAAGAGCAAGAUAAAGAUUUGCUAAAACAGGUAGUUACCGAGAUAAUGAUUGCCAAAGCAGGGGCAUAUUGUUAGAUGGCUCCAGACUCCAGAUAUUAGGACACUAAGGCAAGGAGAAAAGAAGCAUUACAACCAAAAAGUAGACGGAUAUAUCUUUACAAUUGUAUUAUGGGAACUUUUACACAACAAACUACCCUUUGAGGAUAUGUACAACCUCCAAGCUGCUUAUCUGCAACUUUCAAGGUAAAAAAGUAAUUUUUAUAUCAUCUCCUAAAGGGUAAAAUAGUAAAACAAGAGGGGUAUAAUUGUAAUUUUUACUUGCUUUUUAUCAUUCAAAAUGUGAGUCUAAGUUUUGGAAGAUCUACCAGAAGAUUUAGCAAUGAUUAUGAGUUCAUGUUGGAUGGAGGACUCAGAUUCUCUCAAUUCAGUUACAUUAUUUUUCGACAAUUUUGAGUAUUCUAGUUAAUCAGCUAGUGAAUUCCAUGCUUAGAAGAGGUGGUUUCCGAACGCCAUUAAAACCACGAGAAGCAACACCAUUUCUUACUCCAUCUCUUGGACAAGGAAUAGUCAACACAUCAUCUUUGACUCACCAACCUCAACCUGCUUCUCUGGGGCUCUUCUUUUUGCUGCUUGCUAACACUACAUGUAAACAUUAAUCUAUUUCUUGAUAAUGUCUUUUUGAUAUACAGAUAGAUUAAAUUGCAGAUUCUGAGCAUAUCUUGAAGAGAGCAACAAGGCCUUUGUGAUAUCAGAGGAGAGGUUAAGGAUGGCAUAUCAUGCUUGAAAGCAGCAAAACAAGGCGGUGGAUUGCAAUGAAACUUAUUUGUUCCUUUGUUGGCAAUGAGAUGCAAUUUUAUUUUAUUUUUUACUUUUUUAUAUUUUCAUGGCAAAUAGAGGUUGAAUCCAUUUUCUUUGAAUAUUUUGUAUUAUCCUUUGUCUAAAUUUGAAUAUAUGAUAUUUUUACUUUAGUCA
Molecule: non-coding RNA, 2370 nt
Organism: Lactuca sativa (garden lettuce)
Lineage: Eukaryota; Viridiplantae; Streptophyta; Magnoliopsida; Asterales; Asteraceae
Source: RefSeq, a predicted model, not a curated record